GGCAGCGUGGCGUAGUGGUUUGAGUGUUGGACUACGACUCUGGAGACCAGGGUUUGAAUCCCCUACUCAGCCA
Non-coding RNA from Phrynosoma platyrhinos (Desert horned lizard), 73 nucleotides. Lineage: Eukaryota; Metazoa; Chordata; Lepidosauria; Squamata; Phrynosomatidae. The record is from the annotation of a GenBank genome assembly.